Juglans microcarpa x Juglans regia is the source of this 108-nucleotide small nucleolar RNA. The record is from RefSeq and is a predicted model, not a curated record. Lineage: Eukaryota; Viridiplantae; Streptophyta; Magnoliopsida; Fagales; Juglandaceae.
UACUCGUGGUGAGGACACCAACUCAACAACUCUUUAAAUCUCUCUCAUGACUGAUACAAAGUCUCACUGUCCUUUUGUGCAAAGGUCGAGAUUUUCCUUUUUAAAGCA